UACGUAGGGGGCAAGCGUUGUCCGGAAUUAUUGGGCGUAAAGAGCGUGUAGGCUGUUCGAUAAGUCUGCUGUAAAAGUCGGGGGCUCAACUCCCGAAAGCCGGUGGAUACUAUUGGACUAGAGUGCGGAAGAGGCGAGUGGAAUUCCUGGUGUAGCGGUGAAAUGCGCAGAUAUCAGGAGGAACACCACCUGCGAAGGCAGCUCGCUGGGACGCAACUGACGCUGAGACGCGAAAGCGUGGGGAGCAAACAGG
This 253-nucleotide ribosomal RNA is filed under the name uncultured bacterium. RNAcentral describes it as "partial 16S ribosomal RNA". It matches the Rfam family "Bacterial small subunit ribosomal RNA", at positions 524 to 776 of the family's 1533-position model. The record is from RNAcentral.